This 497-nucleotide ribosomal RNA is filed under the name uncultured bacterium. RNAcentral's name for it is "partial 16S ribosomal RNA". It matches the Rfam family "Bacterial small subunit ribosomal RNA", at positions 28 to 507 of the family's 1533-position model. The record is from RNAcentral.
GAUGAACGCUGGCGGCGUGCCUAAUACAUGCAAGUCGAGCGAACAGACGAGGAGCUUGCUCCUCUGACGUUAGCGGCGGACGGGUGAGUAACACGUGGAUAACCUACCUAUAAGACUGGUAUAACUUCGGGAAACCGGAGCUAAUACCGGAUAAUAUAUUGAACCGCAUGGUUCAAUAGUGAAAGACGGUUUUGCUGUCACUUAUAGAUUGAUCCGCGCCGCAUUAGCUAGUUGGUAAGGUAACGGCUUACCAAGGCAACGAUGCGUAGCCGACCUGAGAGGGUGAUCGGCCACACUGGAACUGAGACACGGUCCAGACUCCUACGGGAGGCAGCAGUAGGGAAUCUUCCGCAAUGGGCGAAAGCCUGACGGAGCAACGCCGCGUGAGUGAUGAAGGUCUUCGGAUCGUAAAACUCUGUUAUUAGGGAAGAACAAAUGUGUAAGUAACUAUGCACGUCUUGACGGUACCUAAUCAGAAAGCCACGGCUAACUACGUG